GUGAGGAGGUCCCUUUUGAGGGCUAUCCAAUCCCUGUAUGUCCAAAGUGAGAGCUGUGUUCGGGUUCUCGGUAAUAAGUCGGACUUGUUCCAGGUGGGGGUUGGCCUCCGCCAGGGCUGCGCUUUGUCACCAAUCCUGUUUGUAACUUUUAUGGAUAGGAUAUCGAGGCGUAGUCGGGGUGGGGAGGGGUUGCAGUUCGGUGCCCUAGGGAUCUCAUCGCUGCUUUUUGCAGAUGAUGUGGUCCUGAUGGCAUCAAUGGUCUGUGACCUUCAGCACUCACUGGACCAGUUCGCAGCAGAGUGCGAAGCGGUUGGGAUGAGGAUUAGCACCUCUAAAUCUGAGGCCAUGGUCCUCAGCAGGAAACCGAUGGAGUGCCUUCUCCGGGUAGGGAAUGAGGCGUUACCCCAAGUUAAGGAGUUCAAGUAUCUCGGGGUCUUGUUCGCGAGUGAGGGGACAAUGGAGCGGGAGAUUGGCCGGAGAAUCGGAGCAGAAGGGGCGGUAUUGCAUUCGCUUUACCGCACCGUUGUGAUGAAAAGAGAGCUGAGCCGGAAGGCAAAGCUCUCGAUAUACCGGUCAAUUUUCCUUCCAACCCUCACCUAUGGUCAUGAAGGCUGGGUCAUGACCGAAAGAACAAGAUAGCGAGUACAAGCGGCUGAAAUGGGUUUUCUCCUUAGGGAUAGGGUGAGAAGCUCAGCCAUCCGUGAGGAACUCGGAGUAGAGCCGCUGCUCCUUUGCGUCGAAAGGAGCCAGUUGAGGUGGUUCGCGCAUUUGAUGGAGUAUAGCAGCAACUCAUAAAUCCCACAGUCACCAGACACUGACCUGGACUCAAAUGUAACUACACCAGCUGCAUUCAGUUGACCUCGAGGCUGGGGAACAGACCAUCAUUAGAACCUGCCACAUCUAAUUACAAAAGACCUGUCCACCAAAAACAACCUAAGAGUGUCUCUCCAGGUACAACUUCCCUCGACUCAUAUUCAUCCUCCUAGAGAGCAUCAACAGAAAUUUGGAAGAACGAUGACCGGACAGCUCGACUUAACCUUCUGGAUCAGUGCAGAAAAGAGGGAAGAGAGACAUGCCAUGCUCACUGAAGAGCUUGAUGUUGAUAUUGCAAGAUUUGUCACACUAUAAGUGACUUGAUCUACAAACUGCCACAACAUAAAAAAGGUCUAACCAAGUUCAAAAUCCAUCAGCAUUUAUUUGAGAUGGGGAAAGAAAGUCCUGGAGACACGGCCGGCUGAAUACAUUGUUUGAAUACACACCCUGAUUUUUGAACAAAAUAAUUUAGUGCACUUUCUUUCCAUUUUAAAUAAUAAGUUCUAAGUAGUCUGCUCUUUUCAAUGUUUGAAAUACUAUAUUGUUACAUUUACAAUUGUACAUACA
Esox lucius (northern pike) is the source of this 1380-nucleotide long non-coding RNA. The record is from Ensembl. Lineage: Eukaryota; Metazoa; Chordata; Actinopteri; Esociformes; Esocidae.